CCUUGGUCAACAAGUUAACCACAUAUUGAUAGCUUACAAAACAAGCUAACUAUAUGGCACACAUAUUAAAAACUUGUCUUACAAGUUAAGAUACAUAUCUUAUAAAGUUUUAUAGGUCCUAUAAGCCAUUGCUAUAUAGCUCCUAAUUGAGAAUAUAUAUGUGUCACAGACACAAAAUACAGACUUGAAAUCUAAUAAGAAGUUCAAGAAGAAGUGGCAGAACUAGAUUAAACAGAUGAGUACAAGAACAACACCAGAAAGGUGAGCUAGAACUCCAAGAGAUGUG
RNAcentral lists this long non-coding RNA (286 nucleotides) under Physcomitrium patens. RNAcentral's name for it is "long non-coding RNA (PPAT_LNC012020)". The record is from RNAcentral. Lineage: Eukaryota; Viridiplantae; Streptophyta; Bryopsida; Funariales; Funariaceae.